UCUCUUGUAGCUCAACAGGCAGAGCACGGUACUUAUACGGGCGAACCGGCCCUAUGCAAUGCCGAGGUCGCGAGUUCGAUCCUCGCCAGGAGCA
Transfer RNA from Gonapodya prolifera JEL478, 94 nucleotides. It matches the Rfam family "tRNA". Rfam says of the family: Transfer RNA (tRNA) molecules are approximately 80 nucleotides in length. Their secondary structure includes four short double-helical elements and three loops (D, anti-codon, and T loops). The record is from Rfam. NCBI's taxonomy places the organism in Eukaryota, Fungi, Monoblepharomycota, Monoblepharidomycetes, Monoblepharidales, Gonapodyaceae.